CCCUUAGACGUUCUGGGCCGCGCGCGCGCUACACUGACCAGUGCAACAAGCAUCCGUCCUUGGCCGACAGGCUCGGGCAAUCUUUGAACGCUGGUCGUGAUGGGGAUAGACUUUUGCAAUUUUUGGUCUUCAACGAGGAAUUCCUAGUAAACGCAAGUCAUCAACUUGCAUUGAUUACGUCCCUGCCCUUUGUACACACCGCCCGUCGCACCUACCGAUUGAAUGGUCCGGUGAAGCCUCCGGAUUGGCGCGCACCUCGGUGCCGCCGAGAAGUUGGCUAAACCUUACCAUUUAGAGGAAGGUGAAGUCGUAACA
RNAcentral lists this ribosomal RNA (315 nucleotides) under uncultured eukaryote. RNAcentral describes it as "partial 18S ribosomal RNA". It matches the Rfam family "Eukaryotic small subunit ribosomal RNA", at positions 1470 to 1796 of the family's 1831-position model. The record is from RNAcentral.